This 587-nucleotide long non-coding RNA is filed under the name Homo sapiens (human). RNAcentral describes it as "HSALNT0337104". The record is from RNAcentral. Lineage: Eukaryota; Metazoa; Chordata; Mammalia; Primates; Hominidae.
GCUCCUCAAGUGCCACCAAAGUGGGAGCCCAGGCAGAGGAGGCACCGAGAGCGAGUGAGGACUGUGAGGACUGCCAACACGCUGUCACCUCUCACUAUCUUAACAAAAGGAUCCUGAGCUGUGCUGCUGGAAUGGGCUCUGAUGGAAACCUGGCUGGUGGUGGAUGGGUCCCUCAUGAGCAUGGAGAAGGCAAUGAAGCAACUGGAAGUGCAGAGAACUGAGAAGGAGCGAGCUUUUGCCUGCAGAUUUCGAUGGGCAUUUUUGACUGUGCUACAAGAAGUACACACCCAGUUCCUGAAGGAUGCAGUGCAGAUGAGGAAGUAGAGGUGCAGAGACCAGGGAAAAAGGUCAAGAUCUCAAUGCUAACAGAUCAUGGGUGAGGCUGUGAAAACAGAGAAACCAUGUGUUAUGUGACAGGAUGCUCCUCUGAAGACUGACGAUGUUACUUGGGAUUUAAGACAGAUACACCAUGAAAUAGCUGUUGAAUGUCUGCCUUGUGUAUUAUCCUAUGCUCCGUGCUCAAAUAGAGUGAGAAAAGAUACAGACGGAUGCCUGCCUUCAUGGAGCUUAUAGUUUCUAUGGGGAAA